RNAcentral lists this unclassified non-coding RNA (238 nucleotides) under uncultured fungus. Its description in RNAcentral is "sequence contains ITS2". The stretch from base 1 to 52 matches the Rfam family "5.8S ribosomal RNA", at positions 103 to 154 of the family's 154-position model. The record is from RNAcentral. Lineage: Eukaryota; Fungi.
AACGCACAUUGCGCCCCUUGGUAUUCCGAGGGGCAUGCCUGUUCGAGCGUCAUUAUAACCACUCAAGCCUAGCUUGGUAUUGGGGUUCGCGUGCCCGCGGCCCUUAAAAUCAGUGGCGGUGCCGUCUGGCUCUAAGCGUAGUAAUUCUCUCGCUAUAGAGUCCUGGCGGUUACUUGCCAGAACCUCCCCACAUUCUUAGGUUGACCUCGGAUCAGGUAGGGAUACCCGCUGAACUUAA